GCCAGUGGUGUAAGGAUAAACACGGCUGCCUCAUGAACAGCGUGUCCGUGGUUCAAGUCCCGGCAGUGGCG
This 71-nucleotide transfer RNA is filed under the name Paragonimus skrjabini miyazakii. RNAcentral's name for it is "Paragonimus miyazakii tRNA". It matches the Rfam family "tRNA". From Rfam's summary of the family: Transfer RNA (tRNA) molecules are approximately 80 nucleotides in length. Their secondary structure includes four short double-helical elements and three loops (D, anti-codon, and T loops). The record is from Rfam by way of RNAcentral. Lineage: Eukaryota; Metazoa; Platyhelminthes; Trematoda; Plagiorchiida; Troglotrematidae.